Molecule: non-coding RNA, 869 nt
Filed under: Pongo abelii (Sumatran orangutan)
Lineage: Eukaryota; Metazoa; Chordata; Mammalia; Primates; Hominidae
Source: RNAcentral
GUGUGCAGUCCCUCUGUCCGAUGAUUAGCCAGCCGACCUGGAGAGGGCCCUGGAAGGUCCCCAAAGGAGCAGAGAUGGGGAGCUGUAUCCGCGCAGAACCCCGGAAAAGCGCCAGCAGGAUUGCACCGAGAACAAAUCCUCCGCACCCUCGCCCAGGGCUGGGGCGCAGUGCGCUGUGCUCCUCUAGCUGGGCGGUCCCUGUGCUCCAGACAAGAAGAUAGCUGACUUCCGGAUCCUUCACUCUUUGAUCCUGACCCAAACCACCCGUGCCACCAGGAGCGCAUGCCUCUGGAAUACUCCCUCCUGGUCUCCUUGUGGUGAAGCCUUCCGCUAAUGCCCAGAGCCUCCCAGGCUGGAUUAGUGGGUAGGAGCAAAACAGGAUGGUGGAGACAAUCAGCAGAGCAGCAGCGUCUGUUUCCUCGGGAUUCCUCCCAGGAACCCUAUUCGAAGCCAUUCCUUCUAAAAGUUUGCAGCCAGUCUCUCUUUCCUUUGUUCGUUUUUAGAGGAGGCAGUAGAGCUACCUACAUACAAAAACCAAGGCCUGAUACUGGUAACCUAAGUCGUUACUUAACCAUCCUGUUCGGAGGCUUUGCACACAUUACUUUUCCUCUAUGCAUUGUCAUUUCUGAAAUAAGGAUGGUCAUACUGAUGUGCUUGGAAUUUCUCUGAAGUAUACUCCUAAAAGAUUAGAUUAAGAUUAGAUUCUGCUACUCUAAAAUGAAAAAAAUAUAUUUAUCUGUUAAAAAAGGUAAUACAUAUUCUCCAAGAUGUUAAUUAAAGUCUUCCCUCAAAUGGAUUGGAUUUUCAAUUCCUUCAGGAUUUUCCAUACCCUAAUAGUAUUGCAUUUGUAAGGCAUUUUUACAGUGUAA